AACGAACGCUGGCGGCAUGCCUAACACAUGCAAGUCGAACGAGACCUUCGGGUAUAGUGGCGCACGGGUGCGUAACGCGUGGGAACCUGCCCUUAGGUUCGGAAUAACUCCCCGAAAGGGGUGCUAAUACCGGAUAAUGUCUUCGGACCAAAGAUUUAUCGCCUUUGGAUGGGCCCGCGUUGGAUUAGCUAGUUGGUAGGGUAAAAGCCUACCAAGGCGACGAUCCAUAGCUGGUCUGAGAGGAUGAUCAGCCACACUGGGACUGAGACACGGCCCAGACUCCUACGGGAGGGAGCAGUGGGGAAUAUUGGAGAAUGGGCGAAAGCCUGAUCCAGCAAUGCCGCGUGAGUGAUGAAGGCCGUAGGGUUGUAAAGCUCUUUUACCCGGGAUGAUAAUGACAGUACCGGGAGAAUAAGCUCCGGCUAACUCCGUG
This 433-nucleotide ribosomal RNA is filed under the name uncultured bacterium. RNAcentral's name for it is "partial 16S ribosomal RNA". It matches the Rfam family "Bacterial small subunit ribosomal RNA", at positions 29 to 507 of the family's 1533-position model. The record is from RNAcentral.